RNAcentral lists this ribosomal RNA (440 nucleotides) under uncultured bacterium. RNAcentral's name for it is "partial 16S ribosomal RNA". It matches the Rfam family "Bacterial small subunit ribosomal RNA", at positions 338 to 795 of the family's 1533-position model. The record is from RNAcentral.
CCUACGCGUGUCAGCAGUAGGGAAUAUUGCUCAAUGGGGGAAACCCUGAAGCAGCAACGCCGCGUGGAGGAUGACGGUUUUCGGAUUGUAAACUCCUUUUGUUUGAGAAGAUAAUGACGGUAUCUAACGAAUAAGCACCGGCUAACUCCGUGCCAGCAGCCGCGGUAAUACGGAGGGUGCAAGCGUUACUCGGAAUCACUGUGCGUAAAGAGCGCGUAGGCGGGAUAGCAAGUCAGAUGUGAAAUCCUAUGGCUUAACCAUAGAACUGCAUUUGAAACUGUUAUUCUAGAGUAUGGGAGAGGUAGGUGGAAUUCUUGGUGUAGGGGUAAAAUCCGUAGAGAUCAAGAGGAAUACUCAUUGCGAAGGCGAGCUGCUAGAACAUAACUGACGCUGAUGCGCGAAAGCGUGGGGAGCAAACAGGAUUAGAUACCCCUGUAGUC